AUUUUGACUGUGCGAAGGUAGCAUAAUCAUUAGUCUUUUAAUUGGAGGCUUGUAUGAAUGGUUGAAUGAGAUAUAUACUGUCUUUUUUAAAAUUAUAUAGAAUUUUAUUUUUUAAUCAAAAAGUUAAAAUAAAAUUAAAGGACGAGAAGACCCUAUAGAUCUUUAUUUUUGUUAUUUAUAAAUUAAAAAGAAUUUUAAAAUUUAUAAUUUAAUAAAAAAUUUUAUUGGGGUGAUAUUAAAAUUUAAAAAACUUUUAAAAUUUAUUAACAUUAAUAUAUGAAUAAAUGAUCCAGUUUUAUUGAUUAAAAAAUUAAGUUACCUUAGGGAUAACAGCGUAAUUUUUUUUUAGAGUUCAUAUCGACAAAAAAGAUUGCGACCUCGAUGUUGGAUUAAGAGUUAUUUUUAGGUGUAGAAGUUUAAAGUUUAGGUCUGUUCGACCUUUGAAUUCUUACAUGAUCUGAGU
This 463-nucleotide ribosomal RNA is filed under the name Culex jacksoni. Its description in RNAcentral is "partial large subunit ribosomal RNA". The stretch from base 326 to 463 matches the Rfam family "Bacterial large subunit ribosomal RNA", at positions 2473 to 2610 of the family's 2925-position model. The record is from RNAcentral. Lineage: Eukaryota; Metazoa; Arthropoda; Insecta; Diptera; Culicidae.